This 462-nucleotide ribosomal RNA is filed under the name uncultured bacterium. RNAcentral's name for it is "bacterial SSU rRNA". It matches the Rfam family "Bacterial small subunit ribosomal RNA", at positions 28 to 507 of the family's 1533-position model. The record is from RNAcentral.
GAUGAACGUUGGCGGUGUGCCUAAUACAUGCAAGUCGAACGGAGACUGUAGCAAUACUGUCUUAGUGGCGAACGGGUGAGUAACGCGUUGGUGAUCUGCCUCGAAGUGUGGAAUAACCUCCCGAAAGGGAAGCUAAUACCGCAUAGUCUCUCAAGGUUUAGAAAAUUGAGAGUAAAGGAUUUAUUCGCUUCGAGAGGAGCCUGCGUCCCAUCAGCUAGUUGGUAGGGUAACGGCCUACCAAGGCUAUGACGGGUAGGGGACCUGAGAGGGGUGGCCCCCGACAAAGUGGAACUGAAACACGGUCCAUACACCUACGGGUGGCAGCAGUAGGGAAUAUUAGAAAUGGGCGGAAGCCUGAUCUAGCAACACCGCGUGUGCGAUGAAGGCCUUCGGGUCGUAAAGCACUUUUUGGAGGGAAUAGGAAGGAAGGUACCUCCAGAAUAAGUCUCGGCUAACUACGUG